RNAcentral lists this ribosomal RNA (156 nucleotides) under Mycena tenerrima. RNAcentral's name for it is "5.8S ribosomal RNA". It matches the Rfam family "5.8S ribosomal RNA". Rfam says of the family: 5.8S ribosomal RNA (5.8S rRNA) is a component of the large subunit of the eukaryotic ribosome. It is transcribed by RNA polymerase I as part of the 45S precursor that also contains 18S and 28S rRNA. The record is from RNAcentral. Lineage: Eukaryota; Fungi; Basidiomycota; Agaricomycetes; Agaricales; Mycenaceae.
CAACUUUUAACAACGGAUCUCUUGGCUCUCGCAUCGAUGAAGAACGCAGCGAAAUGCGAUAAGUAAUGUGAAUUGCAGAAUUCAGUGAAUCAUCGAAUCUUUGAACGCACCUUGCGCUCCUUGGUAUUCCGAGGAGCAUGCCUGUUUGAGUGUCAU